CAAGGGAGAGGACGGAGCAGGCAGCAUGGAGGAAUUUGCUCCAAUGCGCCCAGUCCGGGGAUGGAAGGAGGGUCUGGGAUCUGGCCUGCGCUUUUGCUCACACACAGGACACACUACAGGGGCUGUGGGGAACUGUCAAGGAUGUGGCUGACUCAGCAGCCCCAAGGUGUGCCUUCAUGCAGACGGGCUCACUUGAGGACGAGUAACAGAUGUCAACAUGAAUCCCCGUGGAAACAAACGACAGCCACUGGAACAAGCAGCAGCAGCCACGGACUCCGAGCCUGCAGGGCUGCUUUACCUUGAAAUGAGCCGCAACUGUGAUCUGGUACACGUCUUUUGGCCCAGGUGUGACAUCUUCUCAAGGGCGUCACCCAGGAAGACAUGGUCCUCAACCACCCUCUUCUAAUUUCUGCAACUGGAGAUACCGGAAGCUUUGAUGUAAGACACCUGGCUUCCAGUUUAGAACAGAUGACUUACGAAACCUGGGAGGCAUCAGCUGAUGUGACAAGUAAAGACAAAUCCUGGCACCAGACCCAAGUAAAAUCUGCUUUCAUAAAAG
This 559-nucleotide long non-coding RNA is filed under the name Homo sapiens (human). RNAcentral's name for it is "HSALNT0207277". The record is from RNAcentral. Lineage: Eukaryota; Metazoa; Chordata; Mammalia; Primates; Hominidae.